Apis laboriosa (Himalayan honeybee) is the source of this 3101-nucleotide RNA transcript. It is a transcript of the gene named fanconi-associated nuclease 1-like, with no coding region annotated. The transcript is spliced from 9 exons. Lineage: Eukaryota; Metazoa; Arthropoda; Insecta; Hymenoptera; Apidae. The record is from RefSeq and is a predicted model, not a curated record.
CACAUGUGUAAAGAGAAAACAUUUAUUAUUAAAUGUAAUGAUAAUUUCUUAAUUUAUAUUUUUACAUAUUUUUACGUGUUUGUGUAAGAAUCUUUAAGUUUUAAGAAUUAAUAAUAAUGGUGAUUGAAUUAUUUACCAAGAUACAAAUAUAAAACAAUGUCACAUCAAACACGCAUUGAUCAAUUUUAUAAAAGAGUCGGCAAUAAAUAUCCUUCGCAUGUAAUUAAAAAGCAUUCUAGGUUAAAAACUGCGCCGUAUUCAAGAAGUAAAGAAAAAGAUAUAAAUAGAAAACAAAAUGUUUCAUUAUCACAAUAUAUGAAAUCUGAUGAUGUAUCAGAUUGUACUAUUAUACAUGAAAAGUCUAAUGAAAUGCAUGAUAGCUUUUUAAAUGAUACAAAGAUUCAAUACGAUGACGAAAUAAUGAAAAAUAAUAUAUCAUUAUAUGAAAAUAAUCACUUGGAAAAAACAUCAACAUAUAUUAAUAUGCAAUUACAAGAAACAUUAGAAAAUAAAUUAAAUAACGAUUAUAUGAAAACAUUAGAACUUAAUAGUAAUAAUAAUUCUCAGUUAAAGAAAACUCCAAUUAAAGAAUCAAAUUUUGCAAAUACAAAACAAAGGACUCCAAAUAAAAACAAUUUUUCAUCACAAAAUACUAAUAGUUCUUCUAUACAUAAAAAAUUAAGUUACACACCUAGAAUAUCAUUUGAAAAUAAAUCUCCAAAAAUUAUUGAAAAGAAAAACUUAUUUGAUGAAAAUAUUAAUAAUUCUAUUAUUAUUCAGACUAUUGAAAAUAUGAAUUUAGUAAAACAAGGUGCUAUUUCAUUACAUAAUUUUGAUCUAGAAAAAAUAUAUUCUAAAAAUACAUUUGAUUAUCAAUAUAAUAAUAUAAAUACUGAAAAUUUAAUGAAAUAUGAAUUAAACAAUAUAAAUUUAUGCAAUGAUUUGAAUUCUAAAAUUUUAUUCACUACUAUUUUUAGUGUACUUUCUCUUCCUAUUAAUUGUGGUUAUUUUGAUGAAAAUGAUCUUGAUUUUAUAUAUUCUAUAAUUACCCUUCCUAUAAAUGCUCAAAUGUUAUUAGCUAGGAUGAUAAAAAGAAAAAGAAAAUGGUUUAGAAAAAAUAAUAUAAGUUAUCCAGAAAUAAAUACAGAGUUAAAAGAUAUUUUUGAAAUUCUUGUUUCACGAUCUAUUUGUACUUUUGAUAUUCAAAAAGAAAACUUAUCUACAAUACUUGAAUUAUUACAAGUAAAUGAAAUUCAACAACUUUGUAAGAACAUGAAAAUUAAUCCUAAAGGAAACAAAAAAAGUAAUAUACAAAAAUUAUUAAAACUGUCAAACAAUAAACCUUUAUUUCCUGGAGUAAAGUCCCCAAGUAAUUUUUUGUAUGCUUCAAUACUUGAUAUAUUAGAUUAUUGCGUAUGCAUUACUAUUAAAACAUGGAAUAUUAUUGAUAGAAUUAUAACAUUAUUAAUACCAAAUCAAAAUCCAAGAGAUAAUACAUCAGAUAUAUUUUACUUUUUAUGUGAUGUUUAUUUAGGAAAGACAAUAUUUCCGAAUAAUUCUGGAGAUUAUUUUCCAGUAUUUUCUUGUAAAUUACAUUUGAUAAAUUAUAUGGAAGCUAAAUCUAUAUUAUCUACAACAUUACAAUAUAUUGAAAAGAAAGAUUGGAAAAAAGUACAAGAAUAUGGAAAUUUAGCUAUGGAUAUAUUACCAAAUUUAUUAGAAAUUGAAUCAUUAAAAUUAAAAAAUUCUAUACUUCCUAUGCAUGUAAGAUAUUAUAUGCCAGGAUAUAUAUGGUUAAAAAUACUUUCUAAAUGUAUAGAAGCAUUCAAAAAGAAUCGAGAUAAAAAGCGAGUAGUAGAAAUUUUAUCGUUUCUAUUAAAACAAAAUUGUCAUAUGCUUUCACAUAAAGGAAAAUGGUACGAAGAAUUAGCUCUCAUUGAAAUGUAUCAUCAUAAAAAUAUAGAAAUAUCUGCAUCUAUCAUAAUCCAAGCUUUAAAUACAGAAAAUUUGACACAAGUAGAUAAAGUAAAUCUUAUAGAUAGAGCAAAUAAAAUAGUCAAGAAGAAAAUAAUUAAAUCAAUUACAAAAACUACUGUUAAUAAAAUCUUAGAUGAUUAUAUUUCUUAUAUGCCAAAAUAUAAGCCAACAUCUAUCAUUAUAAAUGCCACAGUAAUGCCAAGAAAUACUGCAGGAAAUAAAAGUAUUUGGUGUAUAAAAAGUAGUAUUGAAAAUCAAACUUAUGGCUCAGUAGAAACUGUUGCAUUCCAUCAUUAUCAGAAACAAGGAUUUCCCAAUGGAUUGCACUGUGAAGGUGCAUUACCAAAUAUACUAUUUUGUACUUUAUUUUGGGAAGAAUUAUAUGAUAUACAUAUUCCUGGAGCAUUUGUAACACCAUAUCAAGAAGCUCCAGGAGAUUUAUAUACAGAUCAGUUUUAUAAAAAUAGAAAAGAAAAAAUAGAUAUGAAACUUAAAAUAAUUAGUGAUUUAAAUUCUGAAUUAUUAAGUUCUAAAAUGAAAGAAAAAUUUAUAAUAUUUAAACAAUAUCAAUCGGUUAUGUUAAGAAAUUUGGAUAAUAAUUUACAAUUGGAGGAAAUAGUACACUGUUUGGGAGUACAAGGUGUAGUAGGGAUUUGUAAACGACUCAUUGAAAAUUUUAAACUUUGGAGAGCUGGAUUUCCAGAUUUAAUUGUUUGGAAUUAUGAUACCAAAAAACAUAAAAUUAUAGAAGUAAAAGGUCCUCGUGAUGUUCUUUCAACAAAGCAAAGAUUAUGGUUAGAGUACUUACAUCAACUUGGACUCAAUAUUGAAGUAUGUUUAGUACAAGAUAAAUGCUGAAAUCUAGAGAAAAAAAAUUGAAGAAUUUAAUAAUUGUGAAUAAAUUUUAUAACUUUUUGUUAUAAGAGAAUAGACAUUAUAAGACUUUAAUUAAGAUAUUGCAGGAGUUGUUUCCAAAUUAAAUUCAGCAACAGGGAUUCCAUGCUGUGCUACAUAUGGAGCAAACAUUGCUGCAGGAUAAACAAUAGAUGAUGUACCGAUAACCAGGCAAACAUCACAAUUUUCAACGGCAAUAUCUAAUAUUUUAAUAAAGAGAUUAAAAUAUA